GACGAACGCUGGCGGCGUGCUUAACACAUGCAAGUCGAACGGAAAGGCCCUGCUUUUGUGGGGUGCUCGAGUGGCGAACGGGUGAGUAACACGUGAGUAACCUGCCCUUGACUUUGGGAUAACUUCAGGAAACUGGGGCUAAUACCGGAUAGGAGCUCCUGCUGCACGGUGGGGGUUGGAAAGUUUCGGCGGUUGGGGAUGGACUCGCGGCUUAUCAGCUUGUUGGUGGGUAGUGGCUUACCAAGGCUUUGACGGGUAGCCGGCCUGAGAGGGUGACCGGCCACAUUGGGACUGAGAUACGGCCCAGACUCCUACGGGAGGCAGCAGUGGGGAAUAUUGCACAAUGGGCGGAAGCCUGAUGCAGCAACGCCGCGUGCGGGAUGACGGCCUUCGGGUUGUAAACCGCUUUCGCCUGUGACGAAGCGUGAGUGACGGUAAUGGGUAAAGAAGCACCGGCUAACUACGUG
RNAcentral lists this ribosomal RNA (467 nucleotides) under uncultured bacterium. Its description in RNAcentral is "partial 16S ribosomal RNA". It matches the Rfam family "Bacterial small subunit ribosomal RNA", at positions 28 to 507 of the family's 1533-position model. The record is from RNAcentral.